This 484-nucleotide ribosomal RNA is filed under the name uncultured bacterium. Its description in RNAcentral is "partial 16S ribosomal RNA". It matches the Rfam family "Bacterial small subunit ribosomal RNA", at positions 29 to 507 of the family's 1533-position model. The record is from RNAcentral.
AGUGAACGCUGGCGGCAGGCCUAACACAUGCAAGUUGAGCGGCAGCGCGGGGGCAACCCUGGCGGCGAGCGGCGGACGGGUGAGGAAUUCGUCGGAAUCUGCCUUUUUGUGGGGGAUAACGUAGGGAAACUUACGCUAAUACCGCAUACGUCCUACGGGAGAAAGUGGGGGACCGCAAGGCCUCACGCAGAAAGAUGAGCCGACGACCGAUUAGCUAGUUGGUGGGGUAAAGGCCCACCAAGGCGACGAUCGGUAGCUGGUCUGAGAGGAUGAUCAGCCACACUGGGACUGAGACACGGCCCAGACUCCUACGGGAGGCAGCAGUGGGGAAUAUUGGACAAUGGGCGCAAGCCUGAUCCAGCCAUGCCGCGUGUGUGAAGAAGGCCUUCGGGUUGUAAAGCACUUUUGUCCGGAAAGAAAUCCCUGGAGCUAAUACCUUCGGGGGAUGACGGUACCGGAAGAAUAAGCACCGGCUAACUUCGUG